GACCUCCUUAUGUUAUUCCACCUGGAGGAGGCUUUAGUGCAGUUUAAACAGGGACCAUCUACAGCUCCUGUAGAUCCACCUCAGCCCUGUGCUAACCCUCAUCCCCCGUGGAGAUGCCCUCAGGAAGAGCAUUGUCCAGACGCAGGAGUUUUACUUCAAAGAGGACGGAGCAGUCUUGAUAACAGCUUGUGGAGCGGUGGGACCUGUGCUUCUAAUACUUGAGAUGUUAUUUGAUGUUGGUGAUUUUCGUACUGGUGUUUUGGAUAUUUAUAGUCAGGUGCUCAGAAGAAAUGUUUGUGAAGGGUUCUUUCUGCCCCUCCUACCCCUCCUUUCCCUGCUCCCUCUUCCCUUCUCUCACCUUAUUUGGAAUUUCCUGGGCGGGUCCCCAAUUCUUCUCACCUGCUGAGCUCCACUCCUGGUUCCCAUCAAGUAAUCAUCUCCUGCAAUAAGAAACCAGCUGACCUGCUCUCCAGUGCCAGAUCGUUCCGUCAACCCAGUGUUCUUCCUUUUGGAGCCAGCCUCAUCCCAUUGCCACCUGUUCCACAAGCCCCUGGUCAGCCUCAUCCCCACAUACCUCGCACUUACAGCCAACCUGGACCCGUCCUGCCUCCCCUGGAACCUAUCCCCUUUCUGAGACUAUUUUUGUUAAUAAAUACUUUUGGUUUCUGCA
Long non-coding RNA from Boleophthalmus pectinirostris (great blue-spotted mudskipper), 670 nucleotides. RefSeq lists it as uncharacterized. The transcript has 2 exons. Lineage: Eukaryota; Metazoa; Chordata; Actinopteri; Gobiiformes; Gobiidae. The record is from RefSeq and is a predicted model, not a curated record.